UACGUAGGGUGCAGGCGUUAAUCGGAAUUACUGGGCGUAAAGCGUGCGCAGGCGGUCUAUUAAGUCAGGUGUGAAAUCCCCGGGCUUAACCUGGGAACUGCGCUUGUAACUGAUAGGCUGGAGUGUGGCAGAGGGGGGUGGAAUUCCACGUGUAGCAGUGAAAUGCGUAGAGAUGUGGAGGAACACCGAUGGCGAAGGCAGCCCCCUGGGCUAACACUGACGCUCAUGCACGAAAGCGUGGGGAGCAAACAGG
RNAcentral lists this ribosomal RNA (253 nucleotides) under uncultured bacterium. Its description in RNAcentral is "partial 16S ribosomal RNA". It matches the Rfam family "Bacterial small subunit ribosomal RNA", at positions 524 to 776 of the family's 1533-position model. The record is from RNAcentral.